AUGACUCCAGAGCCUGUGUUCUUUGUGUUGGGUCAUAGAGGAAUGGGGGAGGUUAUAAUUCUUCCAUUGAGGUUAAUACUUGUUAUAGUCUUCAAGCUCUUAUUUUCUUCUACAGCAUGUCUUGAAAUCAAACAUAACGAAGCUAAUGAAGGCUUCUCAGCAAUCCAAGAGAAACAUAGAAGCAAAAUGUGGCAUUUGGAGACCAGAGAGUACAACUUUCUCUGAGGACAAUAAUUCUGAUUUUGAACAUUGAGCAACAUUUGAGCAACAUUGAAGAUGUGGUUGAAACAUUUCCCAGACCAUCACCCUGGUUUGAGGGCAUCUGUCAGCCUGCCUUCCCAUCAUCUCAGCCUGUUGCAAAACUUCUCAAGUCUGUAGCAGGCCUUGGUCGUACAAAGGUAAGUUGUUCUGUUUGUUCUUCUUUCCCUGGACUUGUUCACAUACCAUUCCCCUGGUCCUUAUGAUAACAAAAGGGAUCCCACCACAGGAAUAGAAGCCCUGAAAGUCACGAUACAAAAUGGUGUGAUAAUAAGAGCCAUACAUGUGCCUGAUUCAGAUUUAUAAAUAUUGGCAUACUAAGUAUCCUGUUAUGAAAGAAAAGAAUUACAAAGCACUGAGGAAAAAUAACUAGAUGAAUAUGAAGAUGGGGAGGAGGAUGAAGGGGAAGAAUUCCUUUAAGAAGGACAAGAUGAAUAUAAGAUGGAAUGAGGGUGAAGAUGAGACAGAUUAUUAUACAAACACAGCAGAAAUAGUGGGAGUAAGUCUGACCAGGAACUGUAUAUUAUAAAUAUGCAAGAAAUUAUUUCAAAUUCAGCUCAAGAAGAGAAAGUGAGGUCGUGAAAAAAGGAUGCUCAUACUCUUUGAAUGACACAUAGCUUAUUUUUAUGAAGAACUGAAAGAAAAUGUGUUCCUUAUUUUUUUUUGGUGUUUGUUUUCGACGGUGGUGGUGGUUCUUGUGUUUUCCUUCAGUUGAAGUGUAGUCCGUUUAAAAUACCGUGUAAGUUUCAGGUGUACAGCAAGGUGAUUUGUUUAUACUUGUAUAUGUAUAUAUGUUUUUUGAAUAUAGUUCCCUCUGAAAGUUCAUGUAAAUUUGAAGUGAUUUCUCUUUUUAAAAAAUUUAUCACUUUGAAAUUAACGAAGCGAUGUCUUCUAUUUAACCUAGCAAAACUUUCAUUUAGAGACAAUUCAAGAUGAGCCCUGUUUUUGGAGACGUAUUAUGAAUUAAGAAUUUUUGGC
Molecule: long non-coding RNA, 1236 nt
Filed under: Cervus hanglu yarkandensis (Yarkand deer)
Lineage: Eukaryota; Metazoa; Chordata; Mammalia; Artiodactyla; Cervidae
Description: lncRNA (ENSCHYG00000017959.1)
Source: RNAcentral